AAGGACACAACAUACCAGAAUCUCUGGGACACACCUAAAGCAGUGUUUAAAGGAAAAUUUAUAGCACUAAAUGCCCAUAGGAGACAGCAAGAAAGAUAUAAAAUUGACACCCUAAUAUCACAAUUAAAAGAACUAAAAAAGGUGCACCCCUUCCCAGCCGCCCGGCCCCGACUGCCAGCUCUUCUUCGUCGCGCCGCCACCAUGCUCUCCGUCCGCGUCCCGCUCGCGCCCAUCACGGACCCGCAGCAGCUGCAGCUCUCGCCGCUGAAGGGGCUCAGCCUGGUCGACAAGGAGAACACGCCCCCGGCCCUGAACGGGACCCGCGUCCUGGCCAGCAAGACCGCGAGGAGCCCGCGGAGCCGAAACCUAGAGCAGCCGCCCCCGGCGUGGAGGAGGAGCCGCUGCUGAGAGCAAACCCACGCUGCUUUGUCAUCUUCCCCAUCAAGUACCAGGACAUCUGGCAGAUGUAUAAGAAGGCGGAGGCCUCCUUCUGGACCGCCGAGGAGGUUGUGACCACCGAACCGCAGGUGGACCUGUCCAAGGACAUUCGGCACUGGGAGUCCCUGAAGCCCGAGGAGAGAUACUUUAUAUCCCACGUUCUGGCUUUCUUUGCAGCGAGCGAUGGCAUAGUGAAUGAAAACCCGGUGGAGCGAUUUAGCCAAGAAGUUCAGAUCACAGAAGCCCGCUGUUUCUAUGGCUUCCAAAUUGCCAUGGAAAACAUACAUUCUGAAAUGUAUAGUCUCAUUGACACUUACAUAAAAGAUCCCAGGGAAAGGGAAUUUCUCUUCAAUGCCAUUGAAACGAUGCCUUGUGUCACGAAGAAGGCAGAUUGGGCCUUGCGCUGGAUUGGGGACAAAGAGGCUACCUAUGGUGAACACGUCGUAGCCUUUGCUGCAGUGGAAGGCAUCUUCUUUUCUGGUUCUUUUGCAUCCAUAUUCUGGCUCAAGAAACGAGGACUGAUGCCUAGCCUCAUAUUUUCUAAUGAACUUAUUAGCAGAGAGGAGGGUUUACACUGUGAUUUUGCUUGCCUGAUGUUCAAACACCUAGGACACAAACCAUCAGAGGAGAGAGUAAGAAAUAAUUAUCAAUGCUGUUCCGAUAGAACAGGAGCUCCUCACUGAGGCCUUGCCUGUGAAGCUCAUUGGAAUGAAUUGCACUCUAAUGAAGCAAUACGUUGAGUUUGUAGCAGACAGACUUAAGCUGGAACUGGGUUUUAGCAAGGUUUUCAGAGUAGAGAAUCCAUUUGACUUUAUGGAGAAUAUUUCACUGGAAGGAAAGACUAACUUCUUUGAGAAGAGAGUAGGCGAGUAUCAGAGGAUGGGAGUGAUGUCAAGUCCAACAGAGAAUUCUUUUACCUUGGAUGCUGACUGCUAGAUGAACUGAAGAUGUGCCUUUAUUUUGCUGAUUUCUUUUUUCCACCUCAUGAAAAAAAUCAGCUAAAGUGUUAUCAACUAGCUACACCAUGCAUUGUCCAUAAUGUUCAUUAACAGCAUCUUUAAAACUGUGUAGCUACCUCACAACCAGUCCUGUUUAUUUAUAAUGCUGGUACUAUCACUUUUUGCUAGCAGGCUGGCUGGCUGGCUGUGACUUACCAUAGCAGUGACAGUGGCAGUCUUCGGGUGACCUUCUAGUGAGCUUGACACAGCAGGAUUAAACAUUUCAUUUAACCAGCACAGGCAGUUGAAAGAUGCAGCCUCACUGCUUCAAUGCAGAUUUUCAUGUUUACUUAAAUAUAAAACUGGCACUUUACAAACAAACAUUGUUUGUACUCA
Molecule: non-coding RNA, 1772 nt
Organism: Callithrix jacchus (white-tufted-ear marmoset)
Lineage: Eukaryota; Metazoa; Chordata; Mammalia; Primates; Cebidae
Source: RefSeq, a predicted model, not a curated record